This 392-nucleotide ribosomal RNA is filed under the name uncultured Glomeromycotina. RNAcentral describes it as "SSU rRNA". It matches the Rfam family "Eukaryotic small subunit ribosomal RNA", at positions 669 to 1065 of the family's 1831-position model. Lineage: Eukaryota; Fungi; Glomeromycota. The record is from RNAcentral.
UGGUAUGUACUAGCCUGCCGAUUCCUCCUUCUUGUAGAACCGUAAUGCCAUUAAUUUGGUGUUGCGGGGAAACAGGACUGUUACUUUGAAAAAAUUAGAGUGUUUAAAGCAGGCUAGCGCCUGAAUACAUUAGCAUGGAAUAAUGAAAUAGGACGUUCGAACCUAUUUUGUUGGUUUCUAGGAUUGACGUAAUGAUUAAUAGGGAUAGUUGGGGGCAUUAGUAUUCAAUUGUCAGAGGUGAAAUUCUUGGAUUUAUUGAAGACUGACUACUGCGAAAGCAUUUGCCAAGGAUGUUUUCAUUAGUCAAGAACGAAAGUUAGGGGAUCGAAGACGAUCAGAUACCGUCGUAGUCUUAACCAUAAACUAUGCCGACUGGGGAUCGGAUGAUGUUU